This 498-nucleotide ribosomal RNA is filed under the name uncultured bacterium. Its description in RNAcentral is "partial 16S ribosomal RNA". It matches the Rfam family "Bacterial small subunit ribosomal RNA", at positions 28 to 523 of the family's 1533-position model. The record is from RNAcentral.
GACGAACGCUGGCGGCGUGCCUAACACAUGCAAGUCGGGCGGAGUCAGUAAGAGGAAGUUUUCGGAUGGAAUCUUAUUGAUUUAGCGGCGGACGGGUGAGUAACGCGUGAGCAACCAACCUUGCACAGGGGGAUAACGGACCGAAAGGUUCACUAAUACCGCAUGAGACCACGGUGUUGCAUGACACAGAGGUCAAAGGAGCAAUCCGGUGCAAGACGGGCUCGCGUCCGAUUAGGUAGUUGGAGGGGUAACGGCCCACCAAGCCUAUGAUCGGUAGCCGACCUGAGAGGGUGAUCGGCCACAUUGGAACUGAGAUACGGUCCAAACUCCUACGGGAGGCAGCAGUGGGGAAUAUUGGGCAAUGGGGGAAACCCUGACCCAGCAACGCCGCGUGAAGGAAGAAGGUUUUCGGAUUGUAAACUUCUGUCCUUGGUGAAGAGAAGAAGACGGUAGCCAAGGAGGAAGCCCCGGCUAACUACGUGCCAGCAGCCGCGGUAA